CAGGCCUAACACAUGCAAGUCGAACGAGAACGGAUUAUAGCUUGCUAUAAUUGUCAGCUAAGUGGCGCACGGGUGAGUAAUAUAUAGUUAACCUGCCCUCAAGAAAGGAAUAACAGUUGGAAACGACUGCUAAUGCCCUAUAUGCCUUUAAUACAUAAGUAUGCAAGGGAAACGCUUUAGUGCUUGAGGAUGGGACUGUAUGGUAUCAGCUUGUUGGUGAGGUAAUGGCUCACCAAGGCUAUGACGCCUAACUGGUUUGAGAGGAUGAUCAGUCACACUGGAACUGAGACACGGUCCAGACUCCUACGGGAGGCAGCAGUGGGGAAUAUUGCACAAUGGACGAAAGUCUGAUGCAGCAACGCCGCGUGGAGGAUGACACAUUUCGGUGCGUAAACUCCUUUUAUAUGGGAAGUAAUGGCGGUACCAUAUGAAUAAGCACCGGCUAACUCCGUGCCAGCAGCCGCGGUAAUACGGAGGGUGCAAGCGUUACUCGGAAUCACUGGGCGUAAAGAGCGUGUAGGCGGGUAUAUAAGUCAGAAGUGAAAUCCAAUAGCUUAACUAUUGAACUGCUUUUGAAACUGUGUACCUAGAAUGUGGGAGAGGUAGAUGGAAUUUCUGGUGUAGGGGUAAAAUCCGUAGAGAUCAGAAGGAAUACCGAUUGCGAAGGCGAUCUACUGGAACAUUAUUGACGCUGAGACGCGAAAGCGUGGGGAGCAAACAGGAUUAGAUACCCUGGUAGUCCACGCCCUAAACGAUGCACACUAGUUGUUGUGAGGCUAGACCUUGCAGUAAUGCAGUUAACACAUUAAGUGUGCCGCCUGGGGAGUACGGUCGCAAGAUUAAAACUCAAAGGAAUUGACGG
RNAcentral lists this ribosomal RNA (862 nucleotides) under uncultured bacterium. Its description in RNAcentral is "bacterial SSU rRNA". It matches the Rfam family "Bacterial small subunit ribosomal RNA", at positions 43 to 916 of the family's 1533-position model. The record is from RNAcentral.